CGACAGGGGGCACCUGAUCAGCAAUGCCGCGUGAGUGAAGAAGGCCUUCGGGUUGUAAAGCUCUUUUGUCANGGGAAGAAACACCGGCUCUAACACAGUCCGGGAAUGACGGUACCUGAAGAAUAAGCACCGGCUAACUACGUGCCAGCAGCCGCGGUAAUACGUAGGGUGCGAGCGUUAAUCGGAAUUACUGGGCGUAAAGCGUGCGCAGGCGGUUAUACAAGACAGGCGUGAAAUCCCCGGGCUUAACCUGGGAAUGGCGCCUGUGACUGUAUAGCUAGAGUGUGUCAGAGGGGGGUAGAAUUCCACGUGUAGCAGUGAAAUGCGUAGAUAUGUGGAGGAAUACCAAUGGCGAAGGCAGCCCCCUGGGAUAACACUGACGCUCAUGCACGAAAGCGUGGGGAGCAAACAGGAUUAGAUACCCUGGUAGUCCACGCCCUGAACGAUGCUGACUAGUUGUUCGGGAUUUACAUCCUGAGUAACGUAGCUAACGCGUGAAGUCAGCCGCCUGGGGAGUACGGUCGCAAGAUUAACACUCAAAGGAAUUGACGGGGACCCGCACAAGCGGUGGAUGAUGUGGAUUAAUUCGAUGCAACGCGAA
Molecule: ribosomal RNA, 601 nt
Filed under: uncultured archaeon
Lineage: Archaea
Description: bacterial SSU rRNA
Rfam family: Bacterial small subunit ribosomal RNA
Source: RNAcentral